RNAcentral lists this ribosomal RNA (429 nucleotides) under Pseudomonadota bacterium. Its description in RNAcentral is "Proteobacteria bacterium partial 16S ribosomal RNA". It matches the Rfam family "Bacterial small subunit ribosomal RNA", at positions 355 to 776 of the family's 1533-position model. The record is from RNAcentral. Lineage: Bacteria; Pseudomonadati; Pseudomonadota.
UGGGGAAUAUUGGACAAUGGGCGAAAGCCUGAUCCAGCCAUGCCGCGUGUGUGAAGAAGGUCUUCGGUUUGUAAAGCACCUUAAGCUGUGCGGAAGGGCAGUAAGCGAAUACCUUGCUGCUUUGACGUUACCGACAGAAUAAGCACCGGCUAACUCUGUGCCAGCAGCCGCGGUAAUACAGAGGGUGCAAGUGUUAAUCGGAAUUACUGGGGGUAAAGCGCGCGUAGGUGGUUCGUUAAGUUGAAUGUGAAAGCCGCGGGCUCAACCUGGGAACUGCAUCCAAAACUGGCGAGCUAGAGGAGGGCUGAGGGUGGUGGAGUUUCCUGUGUAGCGGUGAAAUGCGGAGAUAUAGGAAGGAACAACAGUGGCGAGGGCGACCACCUGGGCUCAUAAUGACACUGAGGUGCGAAAGAGUGAGGGGCAAACAGG